This 468-nucleotide ribosomal RNA is filed under the name uncultured bacterium. RNAcentral describes it as "partial 16S ribosomal RNA". It matches the Rfam family "Bacterial small subunit ribosomal RNA", at positions 28 to 507 of the family's 1533-position model. The record is from RNAcentral.
GACGAACGCUGGCGGCGUGCUUAACACAUGCAAGUCGAACGGAAAGGCCCUGCUUUGGUGGGGUGCUCGAGUGGCGAACGGGUGAGUAACCCGUGAGUAACCUGCCCUUGACUUUGGGAUAACUUCAGGAAACUGGGGCUAAUACCGGAUAGGAGCUCCUGCUGCAUGGUGGGGGUUGGAAAGUUUCGGCGGUUGGGGAUAGACUCGCGGCUUAUCAGCUUGUUGGUGGGGUAGUGGCUUACCAAGGCUUUGACCGGUAGCCGGCCUGAGAGGGUGACCGGCCACACUGGGACUGAGAUACGGCCCAGCCUCCUACGGGAGGCAGCAGUGGGGAAUAGUGCACAAUGGGCGGAAGCCUGAUGCAGCAACGCCGCGUGCGGGAUGACGGCCUUCGGGUUGUAAACCGAUUUCGCCUGUGACGAAGCGUGAGUGACGGUAAUGGGUAAAGAAGCACCGGCUAACUACGUG